CUCCUCCUCCUCUCCGUCCUCUCUUUCUGUCUCCUUUUCUUCCCUCCUGUCCCGCUGCCGUGCCGCUGCUCCAGCCUCGCAGCCUCUCCAGAAUCCAGCAGCCUCCCCCCCGCCACGGAGCCAAAGCCAAAAAAUCCUCGGGAAGGGGGGAGGAGAGAGACCCGGCACCACCUUUCGCAUCCUUCCACACCCUGGAGUGUGCGCGAAGGCGGAGGACCGCGGAGGGCAGCGCCGCCGGCCGGUGUCGGCCCGCCCCGGGAGCCGCAGGCAGCCUGGUCCCAAAUGAAGCUGACAGAUGGACCUGAACUCACCAAGGAAGGACAUCCAAUCUGAAAGUUUCUUCUCCUGAUCUCUUGUAUCUGGUCCUCAUCCUACUGGUGGUCACUGAUGCCCUCAGAUCCUCUUUCCCAGCAUGUUCUUCCCUGCUCCUCCCUGCGUGCCCAUGCAGGUGCCAGCACACUGUCUGGAAGGAGCUGAGGGGGAAAGAUGCAACUGCAAGAGAAAAGGAACACCACAAACUGCUGCCUUUCUCCUCUGCUUGUUAAUCACAUGCACUGCUACAGUCCUGGCAUUUUGAGAUCACUGUUCACAUCAAGACUGAAAGGAAACUAAUUACAAUCACAUUUUGGGGCUCUUGUUUAAAGCUCGCGUGGCGCUGACUGCAGCACAGGAGCCUUGACCUUUAUUUGUGAGCAUGAAAAUAAGGCAAAGAUGAAAGAUUGCUUUUCCUCCAGCUCAUAUGCCGGGAUCAAGAGGCCCUCUGAAGGAGGAAGAAUGUGGUAAGUCCCUCCACAGCCCUCUCUCCUCGCCUCCUCUCCCAUGCUGGCAGCAGAGGCCAGUAGUGCUAUGCAGAAGCUGUGCUCCACUGCAGGAGAGGUGAACGGGAGCACCACGGUGUUUUGCAGCUCUCCCUCGGGCUGCUGGAAGAACAUGCCAUGAAUUAGGAGGCCUGAGGUCAUUUUAACCCCAUCUAGAGGUUUUCAGUGAAGAGUUUGCAUUGCCUGGUCCAUGCUCAUGAGCUGAGGGAGGUAUUGGCACGU
Pogoniulus pusillus (Red-fronted tinkerbird) is the source of this 1040-nucleotide RNA transcript. RefSeq lists it as uncharacterized. The transcript has 4 exons. NCBI's taxonomy places the organism in Eukaryota, Metazoa, Chordata, Aves, Piciformes, Lybiidae. The record is from RefSeq and is a predicted model, not a curated record.